UUGACAAGUCUAGAGACUGAAGUCUUCCUGGUUAUCCUCAGAACAGGUACAAUUCAAACAUUCCCACCCCUCCACAUAUCUCAGUACUGACAGGGCAAACAUCUCUGGGGCAGUAGUAUAGUUCAGUCUCCAUAGCCCAUUCAGUCUUUGGCCUCC
This 156-nucleotide small RNA is filed under the name Gopherus agassizii (Agassiz's desert tortoise). RNAcentral's name for it is "TUC338 (ENSGAGG00000006425.1)". Lineage: Eukaryota; Metazoa; Chordata; Testudines; Testudinidae. The record is from RNAcentral.